This 253-nucleotide ribosomal RNA is filed under the name uncultured bacterium. RNAcentral describes it as "partial 16S ribosomal RNA". It matches the Rfam family "Bacterial small subunit ribosomal RNA", at positions 524 to 776 of the family's 1533-position model. The record is from RNAcentral.
UACGAAGGGAGCUAGCGUUGUUCGGAAUUACUGGGCGUAAAGGGCGCGUAGGCGGUCGAAUAAGUCAGAUGUGAAAGCCCCGAGCUUAACUUGGGAACUGCAUUUGAUACUGUUUGACUAGAGAGUGAGAGAGGAAAGUGGAAUUACGAGUGUAGAGGUGAAAUUCGUAGAUAUUCGUAAGAACACCAGUGGCGAAGGCGACUUUCUGGCUCACAACUGACGCUAAGGCGCGAAAGCGUGGGGAGCAAACAGG